AGAGUUUGAUCCUGGCUCAGGACGAACGCUGGCGGCGUGCUUAACACAUGCAAGUCGAACGGGGCAUAGAGAUAUGCCUAGUGGCGGACGGGUGAGUAACACGUGAGCAACCUAUCCUAUACAACGGGAUAACACAGCGAAAUUUGUACUAAUACGGUAUAAGACCACACUCCGGCAUCGGAGAGGGGUAAAAGCUGAGGCGGUAUAGGAGGGGCUCGCGGCCCAUUAGCUAGUUGGAGAGGUAACGGCUCACCAAGGCGACGAUGGGUAGCCGAUCUGAGAGGAUGAACGGCCACAUUGGAACUGAGAAACGGUCCAAACUCCUACGGGAGGCAGCAGUGGGGAAUAUUGGGCAAUGGAGGCAACUCUGACCCAGCAACGCCGCGUGAAUGAAGAAGGUCUUCGGAUUGUAAAGUUCUUUAGCGAGGGACGAAAAGAAUGACGGUACCUCGAGAAUAAGCCACGACUAACUACGUGCCAGCAGUCGCGGUAAUACGUAGGUGGCGAGCGUUGUCCGGAAUGACUGGGCGUAAAGGGAGCGUAGGCGGCACAACAAGUUAGGAGUGAAAUACCGUGGCUUAACCACGGAACUGCUUUUAAAACUGUUGAGCUAGAGUGAUGGAGAGGAAAGCGGAAUUCCUAGUGUAGCGGUGGAAUGCGUAGAUAUUAGGAGGAACACCAGAGGCGAAGGCGGCUUUCUGGACAUUAACUGACGCUGAGGCUCGAAAGCGUGGGGAGCAAACAGGAUUAGAUACCCUGGUAGUCCACGCCGUAAACGAUGGAUACUAGAUGCGGGGAGUAUCGACUCUUUCCGUGUCGGAGCAAACGCAAUAAGUAUCCCGCCUGGGGAGUACGGCCGCAAGGUUGAAACUCAA
This 875-nucleotide ribosomal RNA is filed under the name human gut metagenome. RNAcentral describes it as "bacterial SSU rRNA". It matches the Rfam family "Bacterial small subunit ribosomal RNA", at positions 8 to 904 of the family's 1533-position model. The record is from RNAcentral.